RNAcentral lists this non-coding RNA (433 nucleotides) under Pongo abelii (Sumatran orangutan). Lineage: Eukaryota; Metazoa; Chordata; Mammalia; Primates; Hominidae. The record is from RNAcentral.
CAGAACUGGCUGGGAUGGCUUCAUAACUUCCCUUCCAACAAUAUAACAAUAUGCUUCUGUAAAUUUUCACACUGAAUUGGACAAGAAUCAGAAUAUCCUGUUUUGAACAUCUGCACAGAUUGACAAACAAAAAUGGAACAUCAAGACUGACUGGAAAUGGUGGUGUGAAAUUCAUUAAAUGCUCUUGCAAUUGCCAGAGGUGUCAAGACUGAGGAUCAGAGAAAUUAAAUAACAUGCCAAAGGUCACAGUGUCUAGUGGAGCUGGGGUCAAAUUCAGAUUAACAAAACACAUGAAAAACCCUCAACUUCUUUCAUUUGGCUGUUGAGAUAAAGGGAAAGAGAGAGUCCCCGUCCAGGCCUGCAGGAGAGGGAGAGCUGGUGGAUGUAAAUGAAAAAGCAGAGGCAUUCCUCAGGGUCUUGCUCUGUCACCCAG